Nematolebias whitei (Rio pearlfish) is the source of this 365-nucleotide long non-coding RNA. RefSeq lists it as uncharacterized. The transcript is spliced from 2 exons. Lineage: Eukaryota; Metazoa; Chordata; Actinopteri; Cyprinodontiformes; Rivulidae. The record is from RefSeq and is a predicted model, not a curated record.
UCUGGCUGCAGUGGUUCUCCACAUGCUCUCCUUUGAUGUUUUUUUAACUUUGGUGUUCAGUUUGACAACUGUUCAUGCCAGGCGUAAAUGGAAGCGUGAGAAUGUAGACUUGAAGAGAACAACAUCUCAGCUUCAAAGGGAGGUCCAGGUGAAGGAGCAGGACAAUAAAGACACCACAGAAACACUGAUGGAGGUGAAGACUAAUCUGGAGUCAUGGAUGGACCAACUCAGAGCCACACUGGAGGCCAUGGAGGCUGAGAGAGCAGAAAACAAACAGAAACUUCAGUCUGUGGAGAAGGAGAUCACACAGAAAGACAUAACUAUUGACAAAUCUGAGAAAUUAAUAAUAAUGAAAGAAAACCUGC